GAUGAACGCUGGCGGCGUGCCUAAUACAUGCAAGUCGAGCGAACGGACGAGAAGCUUGCUUCUCUGAUGUUAGCGGCUGACGGGUGAGUAACACGUGGAUAACCUACCUAUAAGACUGGGAUAACUUCGGGAAACCGGCGCUAAUACCGGAUAUUAUUUUGAACCGCAUUGUUCAAAAGUGAAAGACGGUCUUACUGUCACUUAUAGAUGGAUCCGCGCUGCAUUAGCUAGUUGGUAAGGUAACGGCUUACCAAGGCAACGAUGCAUAGCCGACCUGAGAGGGUGAUCGGCCACACUGGAACUGAGACACGGUCCAGACUCCUACGGGAGGCAGCAGUAGGGAAUCUUCCGCAAAGGGCGAAAGCCUGACGGAGCAACGCCGCGUGAGUGAUGAAGGUCUUCGGAUCGUAAAACUCUGUUAUUAGGGAAGAACAUAUGUGUAAGUAACUGUGCACAUCUUGACGGUACCUAAUCAGAAAGCCACGGCUAACUACGUG
RNAcentral lists this ribosomal RNA (497 nucleotides) under uncultured bacterium. Its description in RNAcentral is "partial 16S ribosomal RNA". It matches the Rfam family "Bacterial small subunit ribosomal RNA", at positions 28 to 507 of the family's 1533-position model. The record is from RNAcentral.